UAAUUCACUUUUAUUGACUAGUUUACGAUCACUAUUUGAAAAACAAACGAAAAGGCUUGGCUAGCCUGAUGUGUAUCGUUUCUACUGGGCUAAAACCCAAAACACUAAGGCUUGGCUAGCUUGUUUUGUUUUUUUCUCAUGCUUUCAAUAGAAAAAAAGUUGCAAAAAAAAAAAAAAAACAAACGAAAAGGAUACACCCAACUUUUGACCGAGUAGAUGUCAUUGUUAAUGUUUUUAAUGCCCCGUGCCAUGUGUUUCGAUUAUCAUACAACUUUUAUAACCUAGAGUACUCUCUGC
Molecule: long non-coding RNA, 297 nt
Filed under: Brassica rapa (field mustard)
Lineage: Eukaryota; Viridiplantae; Streptophyta; Magnoliopsida; Brassicales; Brassicaceae
Description: long non-coding RNA (BRAP_LNC005406)
Source: RNAcentral